Molecule: ribosomal RNA, 689 nt
Filed under: Fidelibacterota bacterium
Lineage: Bacteria; Pseudomonadati; Fidelibacterota
Description: bacterial SSU rRNA
Rfam family: Bacterial small subunit ribosomal RNA
Source: RNAcentral
AUUUUCAGUGUCGCAGCAAAAGCAUUAAGCACACCGCCUGGGGAGUACGACCGCAAGGUUAAAACUCAAAUGAAUUGACGGGGACCCGCACAAGCAGUGGAGCAUGUGGUUUAAUUCGAAGAUACGCGCAGAACCUUACCAACACUUGACAUGUUCGUCGCGACUUUAAGAGAUUAAAGUCUUCGGUUCGGCCGGACGAAACACAGGUGCUGCAUGGCUGUCGUCAGCUCGUGUCGUGAGAUGUUGGGUUAAGUCCCGCAACGAGCGCAACCCUUACUUUUAGUUGCCAUCAUUUAGUUGGGCACUCUAAAAGAACUGCCAGUGAUAAGCUGGAGGAAGGUGGGGAUGACGUCAAGUCCUCAUGGCCCUUAUGAGUUGGGCUACACACGUGCUACAAUGGUACUUACAAUGAGAUGCUAAGAGGCGACUCUAAGCCAAUCCCAAAAAUGUACCUCAGUUCGGAUUGUACUCUGCAACUCGAGUACAUGAAGCUGGAAUUGCUAGUAAUCGCAGAUCAGCGCGCUGCGGUGAAUACGUUCCCGGGUCUUGUACACACCGCCCGUCACACCAUGGAAGUUGGUUACACCUUAAGGCAAAGCAUAAAACCUUUGACUACGGUACGAUCAGCGACUGGGGUGAAGUCGUAACAAGGUAGCCGUAGGGGAACCUGCGGCUGGAUCACCUCCUUU